Molecule: transfer RNA, 68 nt
Filed under: Tupaia belangeri chinensis (Chinese tree shrew)
Lineage: Eukaryota; Metazoa; Chordata; Mammalia; Scandentia; Tupaiidae
Description: Tupaia chinensis (Chinese tree shrew) tRNA
Rfam family: tRNA
About the family: Transfer RNA (tRNA) molecules are approximately 80 nucleotides in length. Their secondary structure includes four short double-helical elements and three loops (D, anti-codon, and T loops).
Source: Rfam by way of RNAcentral
AGAAAUAUGUCUUACAAAGAGUUACUUUGAUAGAGUAAAUAAUAAAGGUUUAAAUCUUCUUAUUUUUA